UACGUAGGGUGCAAGCGUUGUCCGGAAUUAUUGGGCGUAAAGAGCUCGUAGGCGGUUUGUCGCGUCUGCUGUGAAAACUCGGGGCUUAACCCUGGGCCUGCAGUGGGUACGGGCAGACUAGAGUGCGGUAGGGGAGACUGGAAUUCCUGGUGUAGCGGUGAAACGCGCAGAUAUCAGGAGGAACACCGGUGGCGAAGGCGGGUCUCUGGGCCGUAACUGACGCUGAGGAGCGAAAGCGUGGGGAGCGAACAGG
Molecule: ribosomal RNA, 253 nt
Filed under: uncultured bacterium
Lineage: Bacteria
Description: partial 16S ribosomal RNA
Rfam family: Bacterial small subunit ribosomal RNA
Source: RNAcentral